This is a long non-coding RNA of Equus quagga, 1987 nucleotides long. RefSeq lists it as uncharacterized. The transcript has 3 exons. The record is from RefSeq and is a predicted model, not a curated record. Lineage: Eukaryota; Metazoa; Chordata; Mammalia; Perissodactyla; Equidae.
CGGAUCGGACUCCUUUCCUUUUGAGGCCCCGCCCCUGGUUGCGUACAAACGUACGUCACGUCCAGGCACGAGAACCUGGGAAACGACAGGGAGGCUAUAGGACGGUUGGGAGGUGGAGCUGGCCGCUUGAGCCUGCGCACACAGCCCGCCGCAGCGGCUCCCCACGGCGCCAAAGAGCAGGGGAGCGCCUCCCCUUGCAGAAGAAAGUAGGAGAGCAAGCUUGAGGCAGAGUACUGAGGAAGCGCCGUUGCCCUACUUCCGCCGUUUCCCUGUAUCGCAAAGAAACUUCCGGGGGUGGUGAAACAUCCGCCGCACCUUGGGUUGGGCUUCCAAAAUGGGAGUGCGAGCUUAAUGUCCAAGUCCGGAAAGCCCUCUCCUGUGCUGCCCUCGGCGUAGGCCGGCCGGUAGAGGACGCGGCCCCGAGCAGAGCCCUGGGUUGGGCUGUGUCCAAGUCAAAGACAGCGCCCUCUCCGGCGGAGGGGAGGAAUCCACUCUCAGUCCCACCGCCUUGGUUUUUUUCGUUCAGCCUUGUCGCACCGUUUUCUAAACCACUAAUGUCCGUACAUCAGACUGAGAUGCUUACGGGACUAAGCCUUUUAACCGCCAGCGCAUUCCAAGCGCCAUCCUGAGCUGGAUGCAAGGGACAGAGAUAGAUAACACGCUGCCUAGGUCCGUUCAGGCAAGCCGACCAGAUUUCCCUCUCCACAUACUGGCUGCCCCUCAGCUUAGAAUGUACAUGCUUUAAGCGAAGCCCUACACAGGGAUGAAAACUGAAGAACUUCAGUUCUAAUAUAAAAUUCCCAGCCAAUAGAUCUUCAAUCAAAUCAAGAGAUGCUGCUAUUAUCAGAUUUCUGGUGGGCACCUGCAAGAAGGAUGCAGCUUCACAUCCAGGUAUGACCUGGGGCAGGAACAAAGACAGAGAAGCCGAAGAGGAAUUACACCACUAAAAGUGUAGAGUCGUCUUUGAAUUACCCCAGACCCUGGAUGUUGGAGCCAAGUUUACCCAAUUCUCUAAGAAUACUGAAGCCCCUAGGUGGUAUCUGGGUUACAAUUUUAAUGGCAAAAGAAAAGGAAACCACAAAGAUUUCAUCAACAGCAACAGCAGCCUGAUUAAACAACCUGUGAUUAACUUAAAUCCGACUAACUACAAGUUGGAAUCCUAAUCCUUCACAGAUUAGGGUUUCUUUGCUCUGUUUCCCUAUCUGCAGUUGGCCUGGUGAAAUGGAAAGGUGAGGAGUUUUAAAACUCUUAAGUGUUCUUUAGACUCUAAGAAUUCCAGCCUAUAUUUGCUUCUUGGGGCACCAGCUGAUCCAAGAAGUCAAAUUUCCUGGGAACCUUAGUACAUUGAGCUGCUUUUGUUGUUGUUGUUGAGGAAGAUUGGCCCUGAGCUAACAUCUGUUGCCAAUCUUCCUCUUUUUGCUUGAGGAAGAUUUGCCCUGAACGAACAUCUGUGCCAGUCUGCCCCUAUUUUGUAUGUGGGACGCCACCACAACAUGGCCGACAAGUGGUGUAUGUCCGCGCCUGGGAUUCGAACCCGCAAACCUGGGCCAUGGAAGCAGAGCACAUGAAAUUAACCACUACACCAAGGGGCUGACCCUUUAUGGGCUGUUUUCUUGCCAUACUGAUUCAUAUACCUUGAGGCCUUAAAGCAAUUAGGUGGUGGGAGCAGGGAUUUCUGUGCUUUCUAGCCCACAUUAAGCCAAAUUUGGCCUCGAGGUAGAAUGGGAAGGUGGUAAGUACCUUGAAAAAAAUUUUCAAAAAUAGAAUGUAACUUAAGUAGAGAGAGAGACGGGUCAUGUCACAACUUUAAAUAUUACUGAAGCCUAUUUGUUGUUUGAAUUUUAUAGCAUUAAGAUUGGAAGUAGCUGGGUCAGCCCCGUGGCCAAGUGGUUAAGUUUGUGCACUCCGCUUUGAUAGCCCAGGGUUUUGCUGAUUCGGAUCCUGCAUGCGGACAUGGCAUGGCUCAUCGGGCCAUACUGAGGCAGCA